GAUGAACGCUGGCGGCGUGCCUAAUACAUGCAAGUCGAGCGAACAUACUAUGAGCUUGCUUGUUUGCCGUUACCGGCGGACAGGUGAGUAACAAACGGAUAACUUACAUAUAAGACUGGUAUCACUUCGGGAAACCGAAGCCAAUACAACAGAAGAUAAUGAACCGCAUGCAUCAUUAGUGAAAGAUGGCUUUGCAGACACUGAUAAUAGUACCCCUGUCGCAUGAGCUAGUUGGUAAUUGAACGGCUUACCAAGGCAACGAUGCGCAGCCGACCUGAGAGGGUGAUCGGCCACACUGGGAAUGAGACACGGUCCAGAAUCCUACGGGAGGCAGCAGUAGGGAAUAUUCCGCAAUGGGCGAAAGCCUGAUGGAGCAACGCCGCGUGGGUGAUGAAGGUCUUCGGAUCGUAAAACUCUGUUAUUAGGGAAGAACAAAUGUGAAAGUAACUAUGCACGUCUUGACGGUACCUAAUCAGAAAGCCACGGCUAACUACGUG
Molecule: ribosomal RNA, 497 nt
Filed under: uncultured bacterium
Lineage: Bacteria
Description: partial 16S ribosomal RNA
Rfam family: Bacterial small subunit ribosomal RNA
Source: RNAcentral